ACGUCAUCCCCACCUUCCUCCGGUUUGUCACCGGCAGUCUCAUUAGAGUGCCCUUUCGUAGCAACUAAUGACAAGGGUUGCGCUCGUUGCGGGACUUAACCCAACAUCUCACGACACGAGCUGACGACAGCCAUGCAGCACCUGUGUGAUGGUUCUCUUUCGAGCACUCCCAAAUCUCUUCGGGAUUCCAUCCAUGUCAAGGGUAGGUAAGGUUUUUCGCGUUGCAUCGAAUUAAUCCACAUCAUCCACCGCUUGUGCGGGUCCCCGUCAAUUCCUUUGAGUUUUAAUCUUGCGACCGUACUCCCCAGGCGGUCUACUUCACGCGUUAGCUGCGUUACCAAGUCAAUUAAGACCCGACAACUAGUAGACAUCGUUUAGGGCGUGGACUACCAGGGUAUCU
This 400-nucleotide unclassified non-coding RNA is filed under the name uncultured fungus. RNAcentral's name for it is "sequence contains ITS1". Lineage: Eukaryota; Fungi. The record is from RNAcentral.